Long non-coding RNA from Kogia breviceps (pygmy sperm whale), 511 nucleotides. RefSeq lists it as uncharacterized. Lineage: Eukaryota; Metazoa; Chordata; Mammalia; Artiodactyla; Physeteridae. The record is from RefSeq and is a predicted model, not a curated record.
CAGCGUUUCAUCUCCAAGCAAACUCACAGGCGUCUUUAGAGCUUUCUAAGGCACUCAGUUAUUUGCUCCUCAAAACAGUCGCGGAGAGAGAAGAGGCAGAAAUCACUGUCACCUGAAGCAAAUGCCUCAGGUCUCCACGGUUCGCCUGUAUUCUGCCGUCCCAUCGGCGAUGAUUGCAUCCAGGGGAUAGCGCUUCUUGCGGAUGCUGCGUCCAGAGGAGAUGAGGUCGGCGUAGCCACGCUGGUGGGAGAAAGCGUAGGCCGAGCGCCGCGUGGACACACCCCUGCGGAACACAUUCUGCCGCCGCUUCCACUGCUCUUCGGCUUUUAACCGCUUUCGGUGCUUCUGAAUCUACGAAAGCGGGAGAGAUGGGAAAAUACCAACCUGUAAAUUGAAAUGCAGAUGGCAAGAGAACAUGUAUUCCGGCACUAUGAAAGUCAAACAUGACGCCAAAAUAAAUUGCAAUGCUUCCAAAAAUUGAAAAGGCAUUCACAAAAGUCCAAUAAGAAGU